GGAGGUCCAAGCGUUAUCCGGAAUCAGUUGGGUUUAAAGGGUCCGUAGGCGGUUUUGUAAGUCAGUGGUGAAAGCCCAUCGCUCAACGGUGGAACGCCAUUGAUACUGCAAGACUUGAAUUAUUGGGAAGUAACUAGAAUAUGUAGUGUAGCGGUGAAAUGCUUAGAGAUUACAUGGAAUACCAAUUGCGAAGGCAGGUUACUACCAAUAUAUUGACGCUGAUGGACGAAAGCGUGGGGAGCGAACAGGAUUAGAUACCCUGGUAGUCCACGCCGUAAACGAUGGAUACUAGCUGUUCGGAGCAAUCUGAGUGGCUAAGCGAAAGUGAUAAGUAUCCCACCUGGGGAGUACGUUCGCAAGAAUG
This 364-nucleotide ribosomal RNA is filed under the name uncultured organism. RNAcentral's name for it is "bacterial SSU rRNA". It matches the Rfam family "Bacterial small subunit ribosomal RNA", at positions 528 to 896 of the family's 1533-position model. The record is from RNAcentral.